Molecule: transfer RNA, 65 nt
Filed under: Columba hodgsonii (speckled wood-pigeon)
Lineage: Eukaryota; Metazoa; Chordata; Aves; Columbiformes; Columbidae
Description: tRNA-Ser
Source: RNAcentral
GAGGGGAGGUUCAGCCAACAAGAACUACUAAUUCCUGUAUCUGAGUCUAAAACAUUAACUCCCUU